ACAGAUUACGCUCAGAACCGGGAAGAGGUU
Molecule: small RNA, 30 nt
Filed under: Bombyx mori (domestic silkworm)
Lineage: Eukaryota; Metazoa; Arthropoda; Insecta; Lepidoptera; Bombycidae
Description: ovarian small RNA-11093
Source: RNAcentral